UGGAGAGAAAAUUUCACUAACUUUUUCUAAUUAAAAUUUAUUUUACUACUUUGGGCUGCCGCUAUCAUGUGUUUUAAUUAGUUUUAUAGCUAAUGGGUUCGUUUCAAUUUUAGACCUUUAACCCUCUCUUUGACUGCGUGCGAAAACGCAUCUAGAACAACCUUCAUUUUGCAAUGUCCUGCCUCGGUGUUUUUUUUUGUAGCUAACAGUAACAGAGAAAACGGAAAAACUGAGUGCAACUGAGGAAAUAGUUUACCUAUGUGGCUGCGUUUAACUUGUUUGAAAUGGAUUUUGUCUUUUGUUUUGCCUCCAAGGUAGAUAGGUUUAAGUUGUCCUCUUGGGUCCUUAUUUAAAUGUUUGAUGUAUGCGUCUUGGAGAAAUUGUGCAUCUUUCACUUGCUGGUAACCUUUCUUUCUGGUCUAAAACAUGCAUAAAGAUGUUCGCUUUACAGCUAAUAGAGCUUGCUUUCCAUUAGCAUUUUGCUAUUAAUUCCAUUUUGAAGUUCAUUAAUGACUUAUUUAAUAGCCUUAUUCACCGAUAUUAUGGAUGCAUAAAUGAGGAGAGAGAUGUCAAGGCUCUGGCGUGCUAUUUGAAUAACGCUUUUGCGGUGUACACAAACCCACCAUAAGCUUUCACGAGUUUUGUUAUUAGAGGUAAAUUUCUGAAUCUGUAUUGAGGGAAGUUGAAUUUGCAAAGGAAUAUACUUGGUUUUUUUCCUUUUCUUAGAACAAAUGGCUUCUGUAAGCGUUGUACCUACUUCUGGAUUAAAAGAUCCAAGUGGAAAUACAGCUGGUGUUGAUAGGUUACCUGAUGAGAUGAAUGACAUGAAAAUUAGGGAUGACAAGGAAAUGGAAGCAACGGUUGUUGAUGGUAACGGAACAGAGACGGGCCACAUAAUUGUCACAACCAUUGGUGGCAAAAAUGGACAGCCAAAACAGACAAUAAGCUAUAUGGCUGAGCGUGUUGUUGGACAUGGAUCUUUUGGAGUAGUAUUCCAGGCUAAGUGCCUAGAGACUGGUGAAACUGUUGCAAUUAAAAAGGUUCUACAAGAUAAAAGGUACAAGAACCGUGAGCUGCAAACUAUGCGUCUUCUGGACCACCCCAAUGUAGUGUCCCUGAAACACUGUUUCUUCUCGACGACUGAAAAAAGUGAGCUUUAUCUUAACCUGGUACUUGAGUAUGUCCCUGAGACUGUCCACCGCGUGAUCAAACACUAUAAUAAGAUGGGCCAAAGGAUGCCACUAAUAUACGUGAAACUUUAUUUUUACCAGAUUUGUAGAGCUCUUGCAUACAUUCACAACACUAUUGGAGUGUGCCAUAGGGACAUAAAGCCUCAAAAUUUGUUGGUUAACCCACACACCCACCAGCUGAAAUUAUGUGACUUUGGAAGUGCAAAAGUUUUGGUGAAAGGGGAACCAAACAUAUCUUAUAUAUGUUCUAGGUAUUAUCGAGCACCUGAACUUAUAUUUGGUGCAACUGAGUACACCACAGCCAUUGACAUUUGGUCUGCUGGUUGUGUCCUAGCUGAAUUGUUGCUUGGACAGCCUCUCUUUCCUGGUGAGAGUGGAGUGGACCAGCUUGUUGAAAUUAUAAAGGUUUUGGGUACCCCAACACGUGAAGAAAUCAAGUGCAUGAAUCCCAACUACACUGAGUUCAAAUUUCCGCAAAUCAAAGCUCACCCAUGGCAUAAGGUACUAGCAAUAUCUACUCACCUGCAAUUUGAAUUCCCAGUGAUGAUACGCCAUGUCCAUGUAUUCAUCUGCAUAUCAUUGAUCACCAGAUAUUCCAUAAGCGUAUGCCCCCUGAAGCUGUGGACCUUGUCUCAAGACUAUUGCAGUACUCUCCAAAUCUUCGAAGCACAGCUGUAAGUGCAAAAUUUCCUUUACAGUUGCCCAUGCUGGAAUUAUCGUUUAAAAGCGUCCACCCCAUUGAGGCUAAUAUUUCUCUACCAUAUGUAGUUGACAUGUCUUUUUUGUUGUUAUGCUAGAUGGUUGUCUCUAUCUGUCGUGCCUGUGAUUACUGUUUAGCUCUUUAAGUACUUCUGACUUCUUUUCAUCAGUAAUAUUAUGGCUCGUUAGACCUUAAUUAUGAUUUAUCCUACGGAGAUCCCGUGUUUGAAGUGUGAUUUUGCGAACAUGUGGAAAUGCUAUCUUAAAGCAGCUACUUCUUGUCAGUUAGACUGGAUGCAUAUCUUCUGUGUAGUAGGAUGGAUUAAUGAGUUGUGAGGCCAAUAUUAGACUUCACCAUCUGUUAUUCAUUUGUGAUUGUGCUUCCGUAUUUCUAGUGAUUUUCAUCAAUUCCUUUAUUUUCCGUGCAGCUGGAGGCUUUGAUCCAUCCCUUCUUCAAUGAGCUACGUGACCCUAGCACCCGCUUACCAAAUGGACGCUUCCUUCCACCACUUUUCAACUUUAAGCCUCAUGGUGAUGCACCAUUUAAGUAUUUUUUGCUAUUGCUAUGCCCUUUUAUAAUAAUUUGUUGAUUAUCUCCUUUCUAUGGUCAGAACUGAAGGGCUUGCCAGUUGAGAUGUUGGUGAAGCUAAUCCCAGAGCAUGCAAGAAAGCAAUGUACGUUUCUUGGCUUAUGAUUGAACGCGAAUUGUAGCGAACUUGGGCAAAGUGAUUUCUGCGUUAUCCUGAUAUGGAAACAAUGAUGUUUGUUUAUGCUAUUUGGGUAAUCUUUAUUUUCACAUGAUUUUGCUGUAUCACCUUGUUAUUAUGUAAAAGCAGAUUUAGAGACAUGGUUAUUGAUGUUUGCCCAAGCCUCCAUGGGUGGUCUGAUUUACCCUGUUCCUGUAUCACAACAUAUUGUAACAUUACAAAAGCUGACAAAGAUCAAGUGUCUUAUUUAUAUUUCUACUACUAGAAGACAUGUAUUUUGUGUUUUAAUUAUUGUUAUGUUGAUGAUGGAGGGUGCUUAGGCUCAGGCUCAACAGUUUUUUUUAAUUGAAGCCUGAGCCUUAUUAGGGCAGCUCUACCUUCCUUUUUGUGCUGGACUGCUGGUGAUUGAAUACCUGCAAUUUGAACAUGCCUUUGGUGGCCAAUUUCUUGCUCUCUCUCUCACUCAAUUGUAGCGAGUUCAGGGUUCAAUGGUGUUUCAGUUUUAGUUGGUU
This 3108-nucleotide unclassified non-coding RNA is filed under the name Hevea brasiliensis (rubber tree). Lineage: Eukaryota; Viridiplantae; Streptophyta; Magnoliopsida; Malpighiales; Euphorbiaceae. The record is from RNAcentral.